GGGCUCUGGUCUAAAGUAGUGUACUAUAUAGGGAAUAUGGCUGUGGUCUAAAGUAGUGUACUAUAUAGGGAAUAGGGCUCUGGUCCAAAGUAGUGCACUAUAUAGGGAAUAGGGCUCUGGUCUAUAGUAGUGUACUAUAUAGGGAAUAGGGCUCUGGUCUAAAGUAGUGCACUAUAUAGGGAAUAGGGCUCUGGUCUAAAGUAGUGCACUAUAUAGGGAAUAGGGCUCUGGUCUAUAGUAGUGCACUAUAUAGGGAAUAGGGCUCUGGUCUAAAGUAGUGCACUAUAUAGGGAAUAGGGCUCUGGUCUAAAGUAGUGUACUAUAUAGGGAAUAGGGCUCUGGUCUAAAGUAGUGUACUAUAUAGGGAAUAGGGCUCUGGUCUAAAGUAGUGCACUAUAUAGGGAAUAGGGCUCUGGUCUAAAGUAGUGCACUAUAUAGGGAAUAGGGCUCUGGUCUAAAGUAGUGCACUAUAUAGGGAAUAGGGCUCUGGUCUAAAGUAGUGUACUAUAUAGGGAAUAGGGCUCUGGUCUAAAGUAGUGCACUAUAUAGGGAAUAGGGCUCUGGUCUAAAGUAGUGCACUAUAUAGGGAAUAGGGCUCUGGUUUAAAGUAGUGCACUAUAUAGGGAAUAGGGCUCUGGUCUAAAGUAGUGUACUAUAUAGGGAAUAGGGUGGCAUUUAGGAUGCACCCUGGCUUUGAGGGAUCGUGAACCUUCCUUCUCAGAAGGAAAAUACCACAUUGACCUAGCAGCUGAAUUUAAAUGAUCAACUAUCAAUUAAGGGCCAACCAUGCUGAAGCAUCAUGUACAAAGAAGGCAACAGUUAGCUAAUGAACACAAACAGCUCGAAGGGAGAAAGAAACAGAAAGAUUCCUUCCUGCUUGCUAUUGUAUAAGGGUUUCUUGUGUCAUCCAGCAUGAGAUGUUUAUUUCCAGGAAGGACAACAACAACAACACUUGUAAAUAAUGUAUUGUAAUAAUUUUAAGCACAAAUGUAAUACAGUUUUAUUGUGUUAACAA
Molecule: long non-coding RNA, 1015 nt
Organism: Oncorhynchus keta (chum salmon)
Lineage: Eukaryota; Metazoa; Chordata; Actinopteri; Salmoniformes; Salmonidae
Exons: 2
Source: RefSeq, a predicted model, not a curated record